AAGACUUUCACUGAUCUAGUCAUCCUUUAUAAACCGAAAUCAUCACCGUAGAUCAACUCACAACUGUUCGACACAUCGACAGCAAAGCUUGAACAUAUCCAACUACUUUUCUAAAAACACCAACAUGAAAUCUUACGUAAUUGCGGGUUGGAUCGUGUUGCUCAUCGGAGCCUUGUGCUGCCUGGCGGUCGACGCCAAUCCUGCGACAGACUUGGAGAAGCCGGCCGGAAUUUUGAGUCCCGAUAAGAAAGAGCUAGCCAUGGAGGGAACAGCGGACCAGUCGCCAGCCGAAACUAAGCACUGGUGGUGGUACGGAAAGGAGCACGACUGGGACAAGAAAAAGCACGGAGAACAUCACGGCGAAAAAUGGGAAGGAAAACACAAGAAAGUCUGGUGGUGGAAAUGGUAGAAAGAGGAGACGAUGAAUUCAAAUUAUAUAAUACCGAUGGUUGUUCAAAGUGUUUGUUUAUAUAUACGAUCCCCCCCCCUCUAAUUUAGUGUAUUCAUUCUGAUCUUUUGUGGUUUGAGUGUGCGUUGUACUACCGACAUUGACAGUUAUACUGACCGACUUCCAAGUACUAUAACAAACAACGAAACGAGCAAGUAGUUUGUCUCAAAUCUGAUCUGUUGUGUACUCUUUUGGCUGCCCCUCUGUUUCCAUGGCAACCGAAAUGUCAAAGCAAAACAAAACCAAAAUACACUCAAUUGUUGAAAACGAA
Daphnia pulex (common water flea) is the source of this 719-nucleotide long non-coding RNA. RefSeq lists it as uncharacterized. The transcript is spliced from 2 exons. The record is from RefSeq and is a predicted model, not a curated record. NCBI's taxonomy places the organism in Eukaryota, Metazoa, Arthropoda, Branchiopoda, Diplostraca, Daphniidae.